UAAUAAUUUUCAUGAACAAUUUUGUCUACACACAUUAAAAACACGCAUAGAUUAAAUUUCAAUUUUUAAUAUCCUUUUUAUUAUUAUUUGAGAUGCAUUAUUAACAUUAAAUUUUACCCUCAUGUGUGAUUAACAAAUUUGUCAUUGCGUAGAUGCCAUCACUAGAAUCCACCUCACAUCUUUUGUUAAAUAGCUUUCUCUUUCCUAAACUUAUUACAUAUUAUGCCAUUGCCAAAUAAUAUUAGAAAGGGAUUAUCUUUAUAUAUAAAGUAGAGUUCUUUCACUCCUGGGAGCGCCACCUAGGAUUCCAGGUCACAAAUUCGAAGCAUAUGAGCAUGACACGUGUCCCCCUCUAUUAAAACUCUGCGUUUCAGGCCUAGCAAUUUGUGGGCUGGUGCGUUUCACUAUUUGAUUAAGGCUUCAUAAGAUUGUUAAUUUGGGCUUCCAAUUUACUAAACAUAAACCCACAACAAUUGCCUUCUUCUCCAUUAAUGGGUGAACGAGUUCUGUAAGGAAUCCCUCCAAAGAAUAGUUCCUCUAGAUACCACCGCCUGUGAAGAUCUGAUCUCACUAUGUUACGCACAACGGCCACUUCCGCUCAACCUCAAUAGGAAGCCACGUUUAUGUCUUAUCGCUUGGAUUUCUUCUCACUGUCCAUUGACUUCCGGCACGGUUACGGAAUUUGUCUACAUUCAAGCAUCGUCAUUAACUCUCUCAUUAACACCAUCUCCCCUCUCCUCACACGAUCUCUCAUUCAAUACAGCUUCUCAUUGUGUGAUUCUACAGCUAUAAAUAUCAUCCAGCGGUACAAUAAGAAGUGCUAUGUUGCUCCUCAAGUAUCAAGACGAAGUUACAUAAAAGAGACAGAUAUUUGAAGUGCAUAGAUUAUUCUAUUCAUCUUGCUUUGUGGUGUGCCACCGUUUUGGGCUGUUAAUACAAAGCUAAUUGUUUAAUUACGUAAUUUAUGUCUUACAAUGUUGUUGUUACAAUUAGGAAUGUUAAUUAUUGACUGAAGCUUGAAGAGGUUUGUUCAUUUUAAAUCUCAACAUUUUCCUCUAUCUUUUCAAUGUCUAUCUUUUUUAAAUUCACUCAUGUGUGCAGAAAAAAGAGUUUCGUCAAACACCAAAAGAUCGUGUACAUGUUUCUUGCUGCUAAUCCUUGGAGUUUCUCUUUGAAUUCGGUGGAACCGAUAAUCGAUUUGGAGUCAGUUGCUAAACGGGACAUAACAAUGGUCAUGAUUCAUCUUAAGCGAGAGCUUUUGUUUUUUAAAAGUAUAGUUUUGUUAAUUUUAAGGAAACUAUAAGUCUAUAACAUACAGCAGAAAACAGUGGUUAUUAAUUAGUUACGAUGAGGGAUCUCACCUCAUAAUGGUUUCAUGGAUUUAAGCCAGAGCUUUUGUUUUGUUAUAGUUCUGACGGUUUUAUUUCAUUGUUUUGCAGCCAUGGAUUUUCAUCUGAACCUACUAUGGAAUUAUUAAUUCUCAGCGCAAGUAUAUGGAUGUGAGGACUUGACAGAAACAUAAGUAGAAAAGCAAAGUGAAACUUAAGCAACUCAUUCGUCUGGAAUGAUGAUGAAUGUUUAAUUAUGUUUUGUUAUGCUUCACAGUUCACACUAGCUAUGGAAACAUUAUGAAAUUUCCAAUAAUUAACCAUUUUCUUUAGCUAAUAAUAUAUUUGAUUUUAUGCAUAACAGUACUAUAUAAUCAAAUACUAACACAUACAAUUAAAAACUAUUCAUUAGAAAAACUUAUCAACCGUUUUAUAGUUUUUAAAUCAUAAUAUGAAAAGUUAAAAAAAAAUACAAUAAUUUAGGUAUUAGAAAGAAAAAAAAUUUAAUAAACAUAAAAUAAAAUAAGUCUUGCAUAAACAGGUAAACCAUACAUGGUUUGCUAGAAUUACUCUUUGGAAUAACCUUUCUAUCCUAUUUAUCAAAACUUUGUUUAAGAAUAUGGAUUGUUAACAAAAAAGGACAUAAGUUAAACAGGUUUUACAAAAACGGGAUGUAAAAUUUCUAAAAAAAAAAAAAAAAAAAAAU
This is a long non-coding RNA of Brassica rapa (field mustard), 2034 nucleotides long. RefSeq lists it as uncharacterized. Lineage: Eukaryota; Viridiplantae; Streptophyta; Magnoliopsida; Brassicales; Brassicaceae. The record is from RefSeq and is a predicted model, not a curated record.